UCAAUCAAUCUGUAAUUCAUAUGAAAUUAGAAAGUCUCUCAACAAUUCAAUAUAUUUCGAAUAAUAAUUUUAUAUAAAUUAUGAGCUAAGACUAAUAAAAAUAAUUCAUUGACUAUAAUAUUCUAAAUUUCGUUUCUCAAAUCACGCCACCAACACGAAUGGGUAAUAAAAUGGGCACACGUUUCGCAUCCGACAAGAAACAUGUUGAGGCGACGAUGGCCUUCAAAAUGAACGAGAAACACACAAACAAAUGCGGAAAACAAUAGCUAAUAUGCGAUUGUACUAGAGUCUAUAUCGCUCUCAGUAGAACACCCACAACUCAAGCUGACGUCGAGUUCGACAACGACUUUGACUUCGGGUUCGACUGAGAUCAUAAAAAUGCCGCAAACGUUUGGACUUUGGCAUUAGACAAUGUGUCGUACCGAAUCUAGCCGAUAAGUAACUGACAUUUAUAUUAUAACGUUGCUCGAGCCCCAAAGCGGCCCAAGUAUUUGCCAAGAAUUUCCUGUAAAUUUCUUCAUAUUCAUUGUCGUAUAUUUUAAUCUUAUCAUUUUAUGUACCAGUCGUGUUUUCGAUAAUAUCGACACCUAUGAAAUGCUUAUGUAAAUUUCAUAUAAAUGGCAUUUUCCUUUCUGAUCAUCAA
This is a long non-coding RNA of Drosophila mojavensis, 643 nucleotides long. RefSeq lists it as uncharacterized. The transcript has 2 exons. The record is from RefSeq and is a predicted model, not a curated record. NCBI's taxonomy places the organism in Eukaryota, Metazoa, Arthropoda, Insecta, Diptera, Drosophilidae.